Molecule: transfer RNA, 87 nt
Filed under: Parcubacteria bacterium DG_74_1
Lineage: Bacteria; Candidatus Parcubacteria
Also listed under: 1 other name
Description: tRNA-Ser
Rfam family: tRNA
About the family: Transfer RNA (tRNA) molecules are approximately 80 nucleotides in length. Their secondary structure includes four short double-helical elements and three loops (D, anti-codon, and T loops).
Source: RNAcentral
GGCGGGAUGCCGGAGUGGACGAACGGGGCUGUCUUGAAAACAGCUGUACUCGAAAGAGUACCGUAGGUUCGAAUCCUACUCCCGCCG